Molecule: long non-coding RNA, 365 nt
Filed under: Rattus norvegicus (Norway rat)
Lineage: Eukaryota; Metazoa; Chordata; Mammalia; Rodentia; Muridae
Description: long non-coding RNA NONRATT026476
Source: RNAcentral
GUUGAGGUAUGGCAGGAACCAUCACACUGGAAUAUACCCCACAUGGAGCUGCUCCACAUCUGCUUGAAGCUGUCCUGCGGUCGGCUUCCUCAGUGGUGCUCCUGUUUCUGGGGUCUGAGGCCUUGUGUGGGCAGGGUGGGCGGACCUUGUAGCUUGGUGGCAGGUCCGUGGUGGCGGCUUGGUGUAGGACGAGGCAGGGAUAAAGCUCCAAAUCACUGAUGGCGCUUUCUCCUCCUCCCAGGUGGGCAUGGGUCCUGCAGGACACCCUGGGCAUUGCCUUCUGCCUGUACAUGCUGAGGACCAUUCGCCUGCCCACCUUCAAGGCCUGCACACUGCUGCUGCUGGUGCUCUUCGUCUACGACAUC